GCCUGCCAGAAGAAAAAGAUCUCUGCCCUAGCCAGACCCACGACAUUUCCCUAGCGCACUGCAGUAGCACAAAGUGAGGGUAGUCCUGUCGCUGGAGUGAGUAUCUGCGCUGCACCCGGUGGUACCGCAGCGUAACAUCGUGGCUUACGGGCCCUGAGUCUGCCGAGGUGCUUCCAAAGGAAGGGGCUCUACUGCUCCCCAAAGGCUGCGCAGCAGCAGUCUGUGGAUAAGAGGAUGCUCUGCCCAUGCGCAGCAUUUCCACCGACGCAGAGCGUAGCUACUCAGAAUGCUGUGUGGGCAAACGCAGCCGAUUUUUAACAGUAUCAUCUGGGCUGCACAGUUGCAUCUAAACCCCUGCGUUUCUACACCAGAGCCCUCCCAUAGCUGGAGGAAGCAAGCAGCCGUUCAGGACAGACCUGAGAAGACAAUGGCAUUUAACAAAUGUGACUCAGCCAAUCUGAGAGGAUACAAAGACACGUGGGUUACCAAGUGUCCCAAAAUGGGGUCUCCUCUCCGUGGAAGGCAGGCAGAUACAAGAUGGCGCCUCCCUAUGCAGGGAGGUGGGAGGGAUUUCCUGUGCAGGGCCCUGCCACCUCCGGUGGGGCUGAUUGACAUUGGGCCCUGCCCUUCACCUGAGGUUUCUUUCCCACCCCGGCAUGCAGUCGGCACAGCGCUGCCUGCUGCUGACCAGGAAGAGCUGCGGGCCGGAGAGGCAGGUGUGUGGAGCAGGAGCAGCAGCUUUACACGCCACAGCGUUCGGUGCCUGGCUGCCCGAGUGGUAAGAGAUGUUCUGUUGCUCAUAGGGCGUAGUGAGGAGGGCUUGAAAGUGUAGAUUCACGGAAAGGGAGGGGGGCUCUCUGAGUGUUCUGGGGAGCCGUUCUGCCCCCUUUCUGGAGGGCAAGCGGGACAGAUGCUGUUGUUAGCAGGGAAGAUGAGAGAGCCAUAGAGCUGCAGCUUGAGGCUGUGUUUGUGCGCUGCCGGGAGUGCUAUUGCCCAGGAGCCGCCUUUUCUCAGUGCAGCUACUCAAGGACAAGGCCCCGCGUCCUUUGGAAGGGGUGUGUGACAGGGUAAUCCUGUCCCCUCUGGCUUCAAGCCACGCAUGCUAUUGGAAAUGCAGGGUUGAAUCCUGCUGUAGCCCCUGCAGCCUGAAAGGUACCGAAGAACUGGGCUCGAGGGCCCAAAGGCUGGGAUUGGCAAGUGGCCUUUCCGUUUCAUACUGAUGCUUUCAGGAGCAUAGCCAUAUCUUUAACUUUGGCCUGCCGAGAACUGUCUGUGGGUUACUUGUGCCUGCUGGGGUGUAGCCCUCGAGGCCCGGCUAAACAG
RNAcentral lists this long non-coding RNA (1323 nucleotides) under Gallus gallus (chicken). The record is from RNAcentral. Lineage: Eukaryota; Metazoa; Chordata; Aves; Galliformes; Phasianidae.